AUUGAACGCUGGCGGCAGGCCUAACACAUGCAAGUCGAACGGUAACAGGAAGCAGCUUGCUGCUUCGCUGACGAGUGGCGGACGGGUGAGUAAUGUCUGGGAAACUGCCUGAUGGAGGGGGAUAACUACUGGAAACGGUAGCUAAUACCGCAUAACGUCGCAAGACCAAAGAGGGGGACCUUCGGGCCUCUUGCCAUCGGAUGUGCCCAGAUGGGAUUAGCUAGUAGGUGGGGUAACGGCUCACCUAGGCGACGAUCCCUAGCUGGUCUGAGAGGAUGACCAGCCACACUGGAACUGAGACACGGUCCAGACUCCUACGGGAGGCAGCAGUGGGGAAUAUUGCACAAUGGGCGCAAGCCUGAUGCAGCCAUGCCGCGUGUAUGAAGAA
Molecule: ribosomal RNA, 388 nt
Filed under: uncultured bacterium
Lineage: Bacteria
Description: bacterial SSU rRNA
Rfam family: Bacterial small subunit ribosomal RNA
Source: RNAcentral